RNAcentral lists this long non-coding RNA (2459 nucleotides) under Schizosaccharomyces pombe (fission yeast). Lineage: Eukaryota; Fungi; Ascomycota; Schizosaccharomycetes; Schizosaccharomycetales; Schizosaccharomycetaceae. The record is from RNAcentral.
UUUGUGAAAUCGGUCAUGAAGCGGUAAAACAGUAAGUAUUGCAAUUGCAUCAAAUACCCAAAUUGGGGCUACCAAAAGAGAAACUGUAACGCUUGAAAAAUUUUCGUUAAUUUCUGAGAUGAUAAGAGAACUAUAAUUGACAAGUCCAUUGCUGAUACCCACAACUCCGAAAAACAUGAAUAUAGGAGGCCAUAAACGAACAUCCAAAAAAGCGUCAGCAAGAUCCGUAAGUGUCCAGGAUUUACCUACCUGCAUCUCAGCCAUAUAAAUGGCGUGCACUUCUUCCUCUUCAGGUGUAAGGCCGGUAUUUUCCGAGGCCUUUAGAAAACCAAGGAACUUAGGAAUGCGUAUCCAAGAAAUCCACUUUUCAUUAUGCUGAUUGUGCUUUAUGCAUGGUAGCCAUCGUGGAAGAAAAAGACCUUGUGUAAAAGCGACAACACCCCAAAUUAAAAACAUCCAUUGGUACCCAUAUAAACCGUGUAAACCAUCCAUUUUCUGAAAAGCAGCAGAGAGCAAGCUAGUAGCGACCGACGAAAUUUGAGCUGCCGUGUAAUACCAACCAAUUCGUUUUCCUAAAUGUUGAUCGCGAUAAAACCUACUGGUAUAAAAGGCAAAACCUGGCCACAUACCUGCUAUGGCCAGACCAUUAAAAAAUCUUAAAGCGAUAAAUCCUGAAGCAGAAGAUCCUUUAGUUCCAAGAACAGCAUGACAAGCACCAAUAAUACCAGUGGUUACUUGAAUACGAGAGAGCCAAAGUCGAGGAUCAGCACGGGUCAUUAGUAGAUUAGAAGGGAGAUCGAAAAUAAUUAAGGAAACAUAAGAAAGGCCCGUGCCAACAGAUAGAGUAUGAUAAUUCAAUCCAGAAACAGUCUGCAGAAGAGAAUGACCUUGAUGUUUGUUCAUGGUAAGAGAUAGAGAAAUAGAGUACGUUACACUUCUUGACAGGAAAUACGUUAUCCAUAAGCAAGUAAUAAUCCUCAAGUCGAGUUUUCUUCGAAUGCGAGAAAGGAUUUUCUUUUCCUCCGAGCUGAAACGAGCAACAUCGAUGCUCUCGGGAAAAGGAGGCGUAGACAAAGAGACAGCAGUAAUAUCCUCAGAAUCAGGAUGUUUUUCAUCUAACAUGGACUUGUCAAGGUCGGAGGAGGAAGAAGAAGAAAAAGAAGAGGGUGAAGGAAUGUGAGGAGAAACAUUGUUAUUUCGUAAAGAAGCUGAAGCUUUUGUAGCAAUGUGGGUUUCGUCGAGGGGAGCGGCAGAAGAAAUAUUUGAUGGACUUAACGGUUGUUGACUAAUUAUAAUGGAGGAGGCAUUUGACUCUUUUUCGAUGUGAGAUAACUCGGGAUUCGAAGUGGUAGAGUUUUGAGAAGAGAAGGGUUUCACGGUCGGGAAAGAGGAAGCAAUUGAUGGAGAGAUAGACGGCUUGGGAGGUAAGGUGUUUGUGUCCAUGUUUUCAAAUUCCAAGGCCAACAAAAAAGAAACAGUAAAGUGAGUUUUACGGAACAAUAAAUAGGAGAAAUAGGAGAAACAGGAAUGAAAUAACUUUAGAUUAAAUAAAUAUUAACCAGACCAAUAAAAAAAAUAUGAGCCACGUCUAAAAAAUAAAUCAAAACCGAACCGAAUUAGAUCCAAAAAUAAAUAAUCAAUGUAAAACAAAGUCUAGCGAACUUAGCAUACACCACAGGCAAAUUAACUAAGAAUUGUCUCAAGCAGUAGAAUUCAUACAGACUACCAAAAGCACAAUAUUAAUAAAUAAGGGAAGAUCUAUAAAAAAUCUCAAUUGCACAAAUCCUACGAGUAAUGUUAAGCUAACUAACAAUUAACUGGGAAUGCUUCGACUUCCACUCCACAAUGCAGUGUGAAAGCCUACUUCUUUUAAGUUAUGGAGAGGAAUGAAACUUUCUGCUUCACUUCAACUUAUAAACGGAGUUUCGGCUCUGGAUUAGUCAUUCUUCAAUCUAACGAUUCAUCAUCAUUUAGCUGAAAUCGCAGUCAUGAUUAAGAGACAAUUUACCCACGUCGUUCUACGCUAACAUCCUGUUGGUUAUUCAAAUUGACGAGUGAAUAAGCGCAUUUUCGCUCCAUUCCACAAAGUUGAAACAAUGCAAUUUUUCACAUUUUCAAUAAAACGUGGUAAGAAGACCCAAUGAGCUAGUCACCCAAGUUCUCAGUCGGAGUCGUAAAAUAUGCAAAAUUUUUUAGAAUCCGGUCCUCGUAAAAAGCAUCUUUAUAUUAACUUAAGAACUUGGAUAUGGGUACAGUGAGUAGUGAGUGAAUCUUCAAAGAUGCGAUUGUGUAUGGGAGCAUAUAAAAUUGGUAGAGUUACAGUACAAUGUAGUGAUAGAUAAAUAACUAGAAUAAUGAGAAAGAAAAAAAAUAAAUAAAUAAAGAGAGUAAAAGGGAUUUAAAUUGAAGGAAAUGAUAUUUUUGAACCUGAAAUAAUGUGUUGUGUAUAUAGAAACUUA